This 128-nucleotide transfer RNA is filed under the name Exophiala dermatitidis NIH/UT8656. Its description in RNAcentral is "tRNA-Pro (TGG) (tRNA-Pro-TGG-1-1)". It matches the Rfam family "tRNA". Rfam says of the family: Transfer RNA (tRNA) molecules are approximately 80 nucleotides in length. Their secondary structure includes four short double-helical elements and three loops (D, anti-codon, and T loops). Further hydrogen bonds mediate the characteristic L-shaped molecular structure. tRNAs have two regions of fundamental functional importance: the anti-codon, which is responsible for specific mRNA codon recognition, and the 3' end, to which the tRNAs corresponding amino acid is attached (by aminoacyl-tRNA synthetases). tRNAs cope with the degeneracy of the genetic code in two manners: having more than one tRNA (with a specific anti-codon) for a particular amino acid; and 'wobble' base-pairing, i.e. permitting non-standard base-pairing at the 3rd anti-codon position. The record is from RNAcentral. Lineage: Eukaryota; Fungi; Ascomycota; Eurotiomycetes; Chaetothyriales; Herpotrichiellaceae.
GGCUGAAUAGUUCAGAGGUAGAAUUCUUGCUUUGGGUGUAAGAGGUCCUGGGGUAUGUAUCAAUCACAUCACAAAGCGUAAUCAACAUCCAUUCUAACAUCAAAUCAGUUCAAUUCCCAGUUCAGCCC